GGCUCAGAUUGAACGCUGGCGGCAUGCCUUACACAUGCAAGUCGAACGGCAGCGGACCUUCGGGUGCCGGCGAGUGGCGAACGGGUGAGUAAUAUAUCGGAACGUACCUUUCAGUGGGGGAUAACGUAGCGAAAGUUACGCUAAUACCGCAUAUUCUGUGAGCAGGAAAGCAGGGGGAUCGCAAGACCUUGCGCUGAUUGAGCGGCCGAUAUCAGAUUAGCUAGUUGGUGAGGUAAAGGCUCACCAAGGCGACGAUCUGUAGCGGGGUCUGAGAGGAUGAUCCGCCACACUGGAACUGAGACACGGUCCAGACUCCUACGGGAGGCAGCAGUGGGGAAUUUUGGACAAUGGGCGCAAGCCUGAUCCAGCCAUGCCGCGUGAGUGAAGAAGGCCUUCGGGUUGUAAAGCUCUUUCGGCCGGGAAGAAAUCGCACAGGUUAAUACCCUGUGUGGAUGACGGUACCGGAAUAAGAAGCACCGGCUAACUACGUG
Molecule: ribosomal RNA, 491 nt
Filed under: uncultured bacterium
Lineage: Bacteria
Description: bacterial SSU rRNA
Rfam family: Bacterial small subunit ribosomal RNA
Source: RNAcentral